This 253-nucleotide ribosomal RNA is filed under the name uncultured bacterium. RNAcentral describes it as "partial 16S ribosomal RNA". It matches the Rfam family "Bacterial small subunit ribosomal RNA", at positions 524 to 776 of the family's 1533-position model. The record is from RNAcentral.
UACGUAGGGUGCAAGCGUUGUCCGGAAUUAUUGGGCGUAAAGAGCUCGUAGGCGGUCUGUCGCGUCUGCUGUGAAAACUCGGGGCUUAACCCCGGGCCUGCAGUGGGUACGGGCAGACUAGAGUGCGGUAUGGGAGACUGGAAUUCCUGGUGUAGCGGUGAAAUGCGCAGAUAUCAGGAGGAACACCGGUGGCGAAGGCGGGUCUCUGGGCCGUAACUGACGCUGAGGAGCGAAAGCGUGGGGAGCGAACAGG